CUUAUCAGCCAGCACAGACACCUGACUCUUGGGGAGUGCCAUCGUGGCAGGACUCCGUGAGGAAGCGGUGGGGGAGGAUAAGGUGAGGAGCCAUCCUCCCGUGCAUGGGGGCUCCCACCGUACAUCUGGCACCCACCUCACAGGUGAACCUUCCCGCUCCUAAAUGAUGACUGAUUCAUCCGAGAAGGAAAAGAUCUAUGUGGAGAACAGAAUGUCCUGGGAUCAUUUUUUCUUCUACUUUUCUGUCUGA
Molecule: long non-coding RNA, 250 nt
Organism: Bos indicus x Bos taurus (hybrid cattle)
Lineage: Eukaryota; Metazoa; Chordata; Mammalia; Artiodactyla; Bovidae
Source: Ensembl